AACGCACAUUGCGCUCCCUGGUAUUCCGGGGAGCAUGCCUGUUCGAGCGUCAUUACAACCCUCACGCUCAGCGUGGUAUUGGGCUCGCCCUGCAGGGCUUGCCUCAAAAUCAGUGGCGGCACCGUCUGACUCUAAGCGUAGUAAUACUUUUCGCUUCUGGGCUUGGGCGGUUGCCUGUCAGCUAACCCCCACCUCUUAAGGUUGACCUCGGAUCAGGUAGGGAUACCCGCUGAACUUAA
Molecule: unclassified non-coding RNA, 239 nt
Filed under: Amanita sp.
Lineage: Eukaryota; Fungi; Basidiomycota; Agaricomycetes; Agaricales; Amanitaceae
Description: partial contains 5.8S ribosomal RNA, internal transcribed spacer 2, and large subunit ribosomal RNA
Rfam family: 5.8S ribosomal RNA (bases 1-52)
Source: RNAcentral